Molecule: long non-coding RNA, 4048 nt
Organism: Pogona vitticeps (central bearded dragon)
Lineage: Eukaryota; Metazoa; Chordata; Lepidosauria; Squamata; Agamidae
Product: chromosome unknown C3orf22 homolog
Source: Ensembl
AUAAAUGCUUUAUUGAUUUGUAGUACAGAGGAUUCUCCUACACAAGAGCAAAAUCUACUUAUAUUCAGAUCAAUUCUGCACUUAUUAGUCAACAGCUUUGGGAAUGGAAGUAGGCCAAGUAAUUAUUAGUGCUAUUAAAAAGCCCAAAAAAAGAGGUACCAGGAGUAAGAAGAAAAGAUUAACAUUUGAAGAUGAAAUAAAUGUCACAAAAUCUGAAGAGGACGUAACAUCAAAAAGUUCAGAACAAAUAAUUACAGCAAAAAGCACCAACUUUCUAGCAUUUGGCUUUAUCCUCAUUAAAAGCUUCUCUCAGAAGGGUUCAGAUAUAGUUGGAGCAACCUAUAACAGCUGGAGUAAAAGACUGGUUUUGGCAGAUGGCAAAGGAUUUUUCAGCUUGGAUUUGCGUUCUUCUAAUUGUAAUGUUAGAAGAGAGCUAACUUUUGAAAAGUAUCAGUUCAGCAUGGCAAGAAUCAUCAUUUAUGCCGAAAAAUUCAAUGUGUAUUUUGUGCUACAAAAAGAUUAUGUUAUAAAGGUUCAUAACAAAGACUAUACUGAGAUUUGUUCGGUAGAAAAUGCAGGUUCAGGACGGUUAACAUUUAUAUCAUUCAACCCCAUGAGAGAUGAACUUAUCAGUGGAGGAAUCAAUGGAGUAAAGACUUGGAAGUUUAAAGAAAAGAAGAUUCCAACUCAUGCUAAUCCUGUUCCAAUGUACAAUUACAGCCUUUUCCCCAGUACAGAAUAUCCAUACAUGGGGAAAAAGUGGUGUACAAAUAUGGAUUUUGAUGUCAUUAUGCAAAGAUACUACUGCUUUUCUGAAGGUCACUUCUUCUGCUACGACAUCAAUGGGAAAUUGCUACUUGAGAUACUAAAUGCCCACCAGACUGCUAUUCUCUCAUGUAUCUACUCAUCUGAUGUUAAAAUUUUACUUACUUCCUCUAGAGGCAGUGAAAUAAAAUCUUGGAAUGAUCAAGGCUGCUUGUUGCAUAUAUUUCAAGGACAUUCUAAAACUGUCACAAAGCUUCUACUGCAUCCAAAUACAGCUUCAUUAUUUAUCUCUGGGUCACUAGAUGGAUCAAUCAAACUCUGGUCAUUUGAUACAAUGGACAUUUUUUAUAGCUUAUCACCAUUCCAAGAAGGAAUACUAUGGAUUGGUACAGUGGAAGAUAAAUAUCUAUACUGUUGUUCUGCCCGCAGUCUUCAUAUAUUCAAUUUGAACACCUUUACCAGCUUUUGGACUCGUGUCAAUAGUCCAAUAAGUGAUAUGUAUGUCUGUGGUGCUGAUGGGAAGUCGAACAGGGUGAUUGCCAUGGGUACUGACAACAGUUUAAGGAUAUACUCCCUUCAUAGUGGGACACGAUUAUGCACAGUUCUGCCACCUCCUUAUCCCCCUCUAAUCCAGCCAAUUAUACACUUUACUUACAACCAAGCUAGUGGAACUAUUUACUUUCUCUUGACACCGUGGGAUAUAUGGGUCUACACAGCAAGAACUGAUCCUGCAUGUCGAACAGCAGUGUGGACCAUUGGAGAGCUACAGCAACACCUGUAUAGAAAACACCCCUUAGCCUCCUGUGUUCAGAAGAAUGAAUAUUUUCAGCAUACUCGAAGAAGAAAUUUUAGGACACCAGCAAAAUGCGAAUGCCUCUGCAGCUUGUCUUCACCAUUGUGCUACUUGACAGAUGAAGGAAUGGUGUAUGCAGAUAGUCAGGAAUUUCUGGUUCUUGGUAUGCAGGAUGGAAGAGUAUUGUUUCUUCAUACAUCAAUACAGAAUUUGGUAUAUUAUGAGCUGAUAGCCUACAGAGAUCCAGUUAUCCACUUAAAACAUGAUGUGGUUCACCAGGAACUCAUAAUAAUGUAUCAAAGAUCAAAAAGCAAACUGAUACACUUCAGAAGCUUGCCCGCUCUGGAGUUGGUCUUCCAAGCUGAAGUAUCAAAUGACACUCUGGUCUUUACCAGGCUGAACAGAUCACUAUUUGUUGGCCUGGCAUCUGGAACUGUGGAUAUUUUAAACAUUCUAAAUGCAGAUGAAGAAGCAGCGUUUUCUGAAAAAAAGUUGAAUAAUAGUGGGCAAAGUGAAAGAAUAUUUGCUUCAUCUUGCUCAGAAGACUGCCACAAUGGCCCUGUAGUAGCAGUUGAUUCUUGCAAGGAUCUUUCUGUCUUUUUAAGUUGUGGUUCAGAUUCCAUGGUAAAACUAUGGGAUAUGCAGAAGAAUCUAUUGGCUGAGAUCACCCUUGACAACACUUUAACCACAGCCUGUUUCCUGAAUAGUUGUGGUGACAUUUUACUGGCUUUCAAAAGUGAUCUGUAUUUCUUGUCUCACAGUAAGGCAUUGGGUAUAAUGAAACCCAUUGAUACUGCUACUAUUUCAGCAGCAGAAUCUUACAUUUUUGAAAGUCAGCCAACAGAGGAUGAAGAAAAAUAUGAUGUGCCCAAAUCAAUUGAGUUGGCAUCAUAUCUGGAACCUUACAAGGGAUAUGCUUUCACUGAUGACUUCACAUCAGAGCUGCAUGUUUUGCCAAAGAAGAAAGAAAAGCAAUCCUGGAGAUUGGCAAUAGCUCCCUCAGAGGUCUACUGUUCACCCUCUACUUCAGAAGCAUCUCUGAAGAUGUUUGAUUUCCUACUUCAUCCUGGAAUUCCCGACUUAGAAAAACAAGAUAAAGCAGAAAUGUCUGAAAGGAUGAUUGUGACAGAAGGCAGGAAAUAUGUUCCCGGACCAAUGUAUGUACCAUCUGCCAAGUGGGAAAUGCCUUUCUUUGGAGUUUCUCCAUGUUCAUCUCAAGUCCCUGAACAAUUUGGGACAAGAACACAAUCCCAGGAACAGAACGCUGAAGCAGAGAGUGAUGUAUCCACUGUGGAGCCAUUACAGGAAACUCAAAUUGAAAAGCAGCAUCCCAUCAGUGAAGAAACAUCUCCAGAAGUACCUGAAGUAAUACCUGAAAGUGUCUGCUCUUUGGACAGACUACCAGCCUUAGAGCCCAUAACAGAUACAGAUUCUAACAUUUGUGGAAAAAUAGAAGAAAAACAUUCAGGUGGAGAAAGGCAGUUCAGGAGUGUCAAGUUUGGCUCAUGGCAGUCUCCUCAUAGGGCAAGAUCCAAACCCUUGGAUGUGGUUGAAGUUCAGGAAACAAAGACGAAACAUGUGCCCAAAGAGCAUGUGCACAAGAAGCUCUUCAAAACAGAAAAACUGGUUCUCAAAAAGAUACGGACACCAAAACAUGCAAAACACUUUUCAGUGUCAAAGAGUGCUGUGAGAUCAAGAGAUACCAUGUACAUCCCAUAUUCCCGAGCAAGUCAUUCAGUUGUUUCUGUUGGAGGAAAACUAUUCCCUGGCCUUGAAACCAAGGCUUCAACAUCAGUUGGAAAAAGGCCCCUUUCAGGAAAAAAGACUGACCAGCAACAAAAUGAAGAUUAUGAAUCCCCUUAUGAAAAAGAUAUCAUAAGGGUGGUGGCCUGGAGGAGGAAACAAAAUGAAAGGAUUCGCCAAGCAGAGGAACGGCGCCUAUUGCUAGAACUUAGAAAAAGGCCGUGUUCCCGAAACCACUGUUUUACACCUACAAACUCUCAGCAAUAUCAAAAUCUGCAAUCUUCUGAAAACCUUUCUGAAACUUUGUUCACUUUGAUGAAGCCUUGGAUGAAACAACAUCACAGUCGUCCAUACACUGUGAUGGAAGAAACAAUUGUUAAUCUCCCUAGAGACUUCCCUUACAGGUUGGCUUGGGGAAUACCAACUACUGAAGACUUGGACAUAAAACUGUAUCACCCUAAAAUUAAAUUAAGUAAGGAAUUGAAACCUGGCAACCUGCCUAUAGAGAAAAAUAUGCAACCAACAAAAUCAAUCCCAGAUAAAGGGAGAUACAUCUUAAUGAAUGACCCAGUUUCAGCACCUUCUACUCCUGCGCUGAGUCCCCUGGAAAGCAAGCUACUUAGUGUCCGUUUCCCUAAGCAGAAGGAAAAGAUCCUUUGUUCUCUCAUCUCAAAAGUAUCUACAGGACAGCAAGUUUCUGAUGGUGCAAUUUCUCAUCUGUUCUCACACUUUCCUCCUAAACUUUAG